RNAcentral lists this unclassified non-coding RNA (377 nucleotides) under uncultured Actinomycetes bacterium. RNAcentral's name for it is "uncultured actinobacterium contains 16S-23S intergenic spacer region". Lineage: Bacteria; Bacillati; Actinomycetota; Actinomycetes. The record is from RNAcentral.
UCCGAGUUGACCCCGGCAGUCUCCUAUGAGUCCCCACCAUAACGUGCUGGCAACAUAGGACGAGGGUUGCGCUCGUUGCGGGACUUAACCCAACAUCUCACGACACGAGCUGACGACAACCAUGCACCACCUGUGCACGGCCCUUACGGACCCCGCAUCUCUGCGAGAUUUCCGUGCAUGUCAAGCCUAGGUAAGGUUCUUCGCGUUGCAUCGAAUUAAGCAACAUGCUCCGCCGCUUGUGCGGGCCCCCGUCAAUUCCUUUGAGUUUUAGCGUUGCCGCCGUACUCCCCAGGCGGGGCACUUAAUGCGUUAGCGACGGCGCGGAUCUCGUUGGUUGAGACCCACACCUAGUGCCCAACGUUUACGGCGUGGACUAC